GCCUCAUUUAGAGGAGCAGCGCUCUCAGUUACUGGAGUGGAUUGCCCUCGAUUCAAUAACACUUGAAGAACUAGAAGAGAAAACACUGAACUUGCUGCAGGAUUCCCGGGGUGGUUUCUUCAGCUCUUAGCUCUGUUCAACCAACAUAAACUCUGCUUCUCCUUCCGACUUGACUUUGCACUACAAUCAUGCAAAAUAAUGCUGAUGGGAACCUCAGGCCCGGUGGCAUUGGAUUUCUACCAGAGGAAGAGUGGAACCUCUUUCUAUGUUCCAGUAUCCUGAUAAACAUUGAAAAUAUUUUCUCCAAGCCAAGAUUUGAUCGUAAGAAAAAGCAACUUCUCUGAAUGUAGUAGAAGCCCAUUAAAAACACAUUUCCAUGUUAAAUACUGAAAUGUCUCUGAGGUGCUCCAAGUCACUGCUGCUUAACUGAGCAAAGCAAAAGCAGCUUAUGGCCAACCACAACAUCUGGCUCCUCACAGUUCUCCAACAAUGUUGAGCACAUAACUGACACUCAGUAAUUUUUCAACAAAUGAAUAAAAGCAUGGCAAUUAGUAUGGUUAUGGAAGUCCUAAUCUGCAGACCAAAGUAUCUAAUGGCAGUGUCUUUAGGAUGCAUAUGUUCACAGGGAUGCACACACAAUCUAGCUGAGCUUUUGAAUGAAAAUGAAGAAACAUAUAAUCCUAUAAAUUU
RNAcentral lists this long non-coding RNA (690 nucleotides) under Heterocephalus glaber (naked mole-rat). Its description in RNAcentral is "lncRNA (ENSHGLG00000044866.1)". The record is from RNAcentral. Lineage: Eukaryota; Metazoa; Chordata; Mammalia; Rodentia; Bathyergidae.